UUGGGAAUUCUGGCUCCAGCUCUUUCCCUUCUGGUAUUUUCCCUACACUCUUCAAUGUUCAUAGUGUUCAGGUUUAAUCGUUCUCGUUCCCCAGCCGGAAAGAUGUGGGGAUUUCCCUUGUGCGUUCCGUGUCAUUGCUGCGCCCAAAGGACUAAACAUAGCUCCUCAAAGACGGUGAGUGUUACCAUGAAAAUUCAAGACAUACGUUGUUACAUACACAUAUGCUGCUUAAGAAAAUGGAAGAAUGGGGAUGAUCAUAAAAGAUGCAGACUUUUGAUGGUGGAAGAGAAGAGAUCAACAUUUCAGUUUUAGAUGCCGCUUAGACGACAGUACAGAAGUGGACAUGGAUGCUUGUGGAAGAAAAGCCUGGAGAAGCACAUUUGGAUCCAAGCUACAGCACCGUAACCGCAGGAGAACUCAGACUUUUUUUCUCCAAAGAUUGGCUGUGGUCGCGAGCUUUGCCAGCCCGAGUUUUCAAAAUUUAUUUUCUAGCCAGGGCUAUAAUUUUUAUUCCUGUUUCUUGACCAAGAACGGCUUCACGUACUGAACUAACAGCGUGGGCGAGCAGUGGGCCAGCCAGCCGUGGGGUUUCGGCAGAGCCUUGUGUGUAAUGCCCACUGCUCUCCCAUAGAUGGCAGCAUUUCACAGACGACGCCAGCCCCCGGACUCGGGCCCUUCCCACUCCUUCCUCUCAGAGAGAAAACAGCUCCGUAAUCUGUUGACAGGAUUAAGGACCCCUGUUGUUUGACAGGAAGUAAAUAAAUCCUUAUGGUAUUCUGGAAAUCUCAGAAGUAUAUGAGAGUGGUAAGAAAUUGUUUAUUCUAUGGUAAAGGUAUCAAAUGAAUAUUUACAGUGUUUAAAACAAUUAGCUCAGAUUGAUGUGGGCUGGUGUUAAAAACCCAGCCUGUUUGCAUUAUCUAGUUUAGAGUAUUUGUUAAACGCUUGCACAGUAGGUUUACUUUCUGAGUACAGAAUUUCUCCCUGUACAGAGCUGAUGGGGAACGCUAAAGCUGGGAGACAAUGACGUUUUCUUUCCAAAUUCAGAAGAAGCACUUAGAAAUUAAAAUAGUGUCUGCUGCAUAUGCAAACCAUUGCAUAAAACCUACACCACAUGAUAUAAGUUAUAGGAACACAAUCAUCAAAAUAAAAGAUACAAUAACAGAAGAUAAAUAGUGUCACAGUGGGUAUGGUUACGCAGAAGGUUCUCUUUGGCUUUAAAAUCUAUUGAGAUUCUCAAUUUUAAAUAAUAUUAUUUAAGGUAGACAGAAAAAAGUACUCUUGUCAUAAAUCUAGACUGUUGGUGCUGCAUUAAAUGCUUUUAGUUAGGAUUCUUAAAUCCAUCUCUUAAAUAAUUCAAAAAUGACGCAGAGCAAUCAUCUAAAUCCAUCAGUAAGAUGCACCCAAGGAUUGAUUCAAUGAUCCUGUUCAGGUUUUUCGACUGCCCUAGGGUGUGCUGUUUUUUUCUUUUUUCUUUUUUUAACUCCUAAUUUUCUUC
Phacochoerus africanus (Common warthog) is the source of this 1495-nucleotide long non-coding RNA. RefSeq lists it as uncharacterized. The record is from RefSeq and is a predicted model, not a curated record. The transcript has 3 exons. NCBI's taxonomy places the organism in Eukaryota, Metazoa, Chordata, Mammalia, Artiodactyla, Suidae.